UAAAAGUAACGAAGUCCGUGAGCCAUGCGUCAAGAAAAGCCGCUAUCGUUCAUACCGUACCCGUACCGUAAACCGACACAGGUGGAUGAGGAGAGAAUCCUAAGGCCGGCGGAAGAAGCAUUGUCAAGGAACUCGGCAAAAUGGCCCCGUAACUUAGGGAUAAGGGGUGCCUGGGAAACCAGGCCGCAGAGAAUAGGCUCAAGCAACUGUUUAGCAAAAACACAGGUCUAUGCGAAACCGAAAGGUGAGGUAUAUGGGCUGACGCCUGCCCGGUGCUGGAAGGUUAAGAGGAGAGGUUAGCGCAAGCGAAGCUUUGAAUUUAAGCCCCAGUAAACGGCGGCCGUAACAAUAACGGUCCUAAGGUAGCGAAAUUCCUUGUCGGGUAAGUUCCGACCCGCACGAAAGGCGUAAUGAUUUGAGCGCUGUCUCGACAAUGCAUCCGGUGAAAUUGAAGUACCAGUGAAGGUGCUGGUUACCUGCGCCAGGACGGAAAGACCCCAUGGAGCUUUACUCCAGUCUGGUACUGGGACUCGGUAUUGCAUGUACAGGAUAGGUGGGAGGCUGAGAGACAGUAACGCCAGUUAUUGUGGAGCCGCUGUUGGGAUACCACCCUUGCAGUAUUGGGUUUCUAACCAGCCGCCGUGACCCGGCGGUGGGACAAUGCCAGACAGGGAGUUUGACUGGGGCGGUCGCCUCCGAAAGGGUAUCGGAGGCGCCCAAGGGUUCCCUCAGAAUGGACGGAAACCACUCGAAGAGUGCAAAGGCAGAAGGGAGCUUGACUGCGACACCGACGGGUGGAGCAGGUACGAAAGUAGGGCUUAGUGAUCCGGUGGUAUUAAGUGGGAAUGCCAUCGCUCAACGGAUAAAAGCUACCCUGGGAUAACAGGCUUAUCACUCCCAAGAGUUCACAUCGACGGAGUGGUUUGGCACCUCGAUGUCGGCUCAUCGCAUCCUGGGGCUGUAGUAGGUCCCAAGGGUUGGGCUGUUCGCCCAUUAAAGCGGUACGCGAGCUGGGUUCAGAACGUCGUGAGACAGUUCGGUCCCUAUCCGGCGUGGGCGUAGGAUAUCUGAGAGGAGCUGUCCUUAGUACGAGAGGACCGGGAUGGACGGGCCGCUGGUGCAUCGGUUAGACUGCCAAGUCUACGGCCGAGUAGCCAAGCCCGGAAGGGAUAAACGCUGAAGGCAUCUAAGCGUGAAGCCCCCCUUAAGAUGAGAUAUCCCAUUCGUAAAGAAGUAAACCCCCUUGAAGACGACGAGGUAGAUAGGGCAGAGGUGGAAGUGCAGUAAUGCAUGGAGCUGACUGUUACUAAUCGGGUGAGGGCUUGACCAU
RNAcentral lists this ribosomal RNA (1330 nucleotides) under metagenome. Its description in RNAcentral is "bacterial LSU rRNA". It matches the Rfam family "Bacterial large subunit ribosomal RNA", at positions 1578 to 2925 of the family's 2925-position model. The record is from RNAcentral.